GACGAACGCUGGCGGCGUGCUUAACACAUGCAAGUCGAACGGAAAGGCCCUGCUUGCAGGGUACUCGAGUGGCGAACGGGUGAGUAACACGUGGGUGAUCUGCCCUGCACUUCGGGAUAAGCCUGGGAAACUGGGUCUAACACCGGAUAGGAGCCAUUUUUAGUGUGAUGGUUGGAAAGUUUUUUCGGUGUAGGAUGAGCUCGCGGCGUAUCAGCUUGCUGGUGGGGUAAUGGCCUACCAAGGCGGCGGCGGGUAGCCGGCCUGAGAGGGUGGACGGCCACAUUGGGACUGAGAUACGGCCCAGGCUCCUACGGGAGGCAGCAGUGGGGAAGAUUGCACAAUGGGCGCAAGCCUGAUGCAGCGACGCCGCGUGGGGGAUGACGGCCUUCGGGUUGUAAACUCCUUUCGCUAGGGACGAAGCUUUUUGUGACGGUACCUAGAUAAGAAGCACCGGCUAACUACGUG
RNAcentral lists this ribosomal RNA (465 nucleotides) under uncultured bacterium. RNAcentral's name for it is "partial 16S ribosomal RNA". It matches the Rfam family "Bacterial small subunit ribosomal RNA", at positions 28 to 507 of the family's 1533-position model. The record is from RNAcentral.